This 958-nucleotide unclassified non-coding RNA is filed under the name Hevea brasiliensis (rubber tree). The record is from RNAcentral. Lineage: Eukaryota; Viridiplantae; Streptophyta; Magnoliopsida; Malpighiales; Euphorbiaceae.
GACCUCUCUCUACUCUUUCUUCCACCUAUACAUUCCCACCCACCACCCACCAAGCUUCAUAAUACGUCGCCGGAAAAUCUGAUAAGAACCAGAGCUCCGCUGCCUGAUAAUUCCUCUUGCCGCCAUUGAAGCAAGAACACCACUUAUUCUACUUUGUUUUUGUUAGCACUUGAUAAAUUCUACCAUGCAAUCUUCAAGCGGUUCGAUGAAGGUCUCGCCGUUCGAUCUCAUGUCGGCGAUUAUCAAAGGGAAAAUGGACCCUUCCAAUGUAUCGUCAGAAUCAGGUGCUGAGGUGGCAACCUUGUUCCUUGAGAACCGGGAGUUUAUUAUGAUUUUAACGACGUCUAUCGCGGUUUUGAUUGGGUGUGUUGUGGUGUUGGUGUGGAGAAGAUCCUGCGGUCAGAAAUCUAAGUCCUCUGCCUUUGAACCUCCUAAGCCGUUGAUUGUUAAGGAGCUAGAGCCUGAGCCGGAUGACGGCCAUAAAAAGGUUACCAUCCUUUUCGGUACUCAGACUGGUACAGCUGAAGGAUUCGCUAAGGCUUUGGCCGAAGAGGGAAAAGCGCGGUAUGAAAAGGCCACAUUUAAAAUUAUUGAUUUGGAUGAUUAUGCGGCUGAUGAUGAUGAGUACGAAGAGAAACUCAAGAAAGAGUCUUUGGUUUUGUUCUUUGUGGCUACAUACGGAGAUGGUGAGCCAACAGAUAAUGCUGCGAGGUUCUAUAAAUGGUUUACAGAGGGUAAUGAGAGAGGGGAAUGGCUUCAGAACCUUAAGUUUGGGGUGUUUGGCCUUGGCAACAAGCAAUAUGAACAUUUUAAUAAGAUUGCUAAAGUGUUGGAUGAGACCCUUGAACAGCAGGGUGCAAAGCGUCUUGUUCCUUUGGGUCUUGGAGAUGAUGAUCAAUGCAUAGAAGAUGACUUCACUGCUUGGAGAGAAUCAGUGUGGCCUGAGUUGGAUCAGCUG